RNAcentral lists this ribosomal RNA (491 nucleotides) under Vishniacozyma victoriae. RNAcentral's name for it is "eukaryotic LSU rRNA". The stretch from base 135 to 288 matches the Rfam family "5.8S ribosomal RNA". Lineage: Eukaryota; Fungi; Basidiomycota; Tremellomycetes; Tremellales; Bulleribasidiaceae. The record is from RNAcentral.
ANANNCCNCNANGCAGUCAUUGGGUUAGAUCUGCCUCUCUUCGCAAGAAGAGGGUUUCCAUACACACCGNUGAACUGCUGUNCUUCGGCCAUCACAAACUGUUAGUAAUGAAUGUAAUAUCAUAACAAAAACAAAACUUUUAACAACGGAUCUCUUGGCUCUCGCAUCGAUGAAGAACGCAGCGAAAUGCGAUAAGUAAUGUGAAUUGCAGAAUUCAGUGAAUCAUCGAAUCUUUGAACGCACCUUGCGCCCUUUGGUAUUCCGAAGGGCAUGCCUGUUUGAGUGUCAUGAAACCUCACCCCACUUGGGUUUUUGCCUGAGCGGUGGUGUAUUGGGUGUUGCCUUGCUAAAGGCUCGCCUUAAAGACAUAAGCACCUUGGAUGUAAUACGUUUCAUCCUUCUGGGUGGCUGAUAACCCCACAUAUUCAUGAUCUGGCCUCAAAUCAGGUAGGGCUACCCGCUGAACUUAAGCAUAUCAAUAAGCGGAGGAA